GACGAACGCUGGCGGCGCGCUUAACACAUGCAAGUCGAACGGAAAGGCCUGCUUUCCCUUGUGGAUUGCGGGUACUCGAGUGGCGAACGGGUGAGUAACACGUGAGUGAUCUGCCCCCAACUUGGGUAUAAGCCUGGGAAACUGGGUCUAAUUCCCGAUAGGACUGCAGGGUGGUGCCUGUGGUGGAAAACGAUUUUCUAGUGGUUGGGGAUGAGCUCUCGGCCUAUCAGCUUGUUGGUGGGGUAAUGGCCUACCAAGGCGGCGUCGGGUAGCCGGCCGGGGAGGGUGGACGGCAACAUUGGGACUGAGAUACGGCCCAGACUCCUACGGGAGGCAGCAGUGGGGAAGAUUGAACGAUGGGCGGAAGCCUGAGGCAGCGACGCAGCGUGGGGGAUGACGGGCUUCGGGUUGUAAACUCCUUUCGACCGCGAGGAAGCCACCGGGUUGGAAGGGUGGUGACGGUAGUGGUAGAAGAAGCACCGGCUAACUACGUG
This 494-nucleotide ribosomal RNA is filed under the name uncultured bacterium. RNAcentral's name for it is "partial 16S ribosomal RNA". It matches the Rfam family "Bacterial small subunit ribosomal RNA", at positions 28 to 507 of the family's 1533-position model. The record is from RNAcentral.